This 427-nucleotide ribosomal RNA is filed under the name uncultured bacterium. Its description in RNAcentral is "partial 16S ribosomal RNA". It matches the Rfam family "Bacterial small subunit ribosomal RNA", at positions 355 to 774 of the family's 1533-position model. The record is from RNAcentral.
UGGGGAAUAUUGCACAAUGGGCGCAAGCCUGAUGCAGCCAUGCCGCGUGUAUGAAGAAGGCCUUCGGGUUGUAACGUACUUUCAGCGAGGAGGAAGGCGGUAAGGUUAAUAACCUUAUCGAUUGACGUUACUCGCAGAAGAAGCACCGGCUAACUCCGUGCCAGCAGCCGCGGUAAUACGGAGGGUGCAAGCGUUAAUCGGAAUUACUGGGCGUAAAGCGCACGCAGGCGGUCUGUCAAGUCGGAUGUGAAAUCCCCGGGCUCAACCUGGGAACUGCAUUCGAAACUGGCAGGCUAGAGUCUUGUAGAGGGGGGUAGAAUUCCAGGUGUAGCGGUGAAAUGCGUAGAGAUCUGGAGGAAUACCGGUGGCGAAGGCGGCCCUCUGGACAAAGACUGACGCUCAGGUGCGAAAGCGUGGGGAGCAAACA